RNAcentral lists this ribosomal RNA (254 nucleotides) under uncultured bacterium. Its description in RNAcentral is "partial 16S ribosomal RNA". It matches the Rfam family "Bacterial small subunit ribosomal RNA", at positions 524 to 776 of the family's 1533-position model. The record is from RNAcentral.
UACGGGGGGAGCAAGCGUUGUUCGGAUUUACUGGGCGUAAAGGGCGCGUAGGCGGCCAGCACAAGUCAGUUGUGAAAUCUCUGAGCUUAACUCGGAAAGGUCAACUGAUACUGUGCGGCUAGAGUGCGGAAGGGGCAACUGGAAUUCUUGGUGUAGCGGUGAAAUGCGUAGAUAUCAAGAGGAACACCUGCGGCGAAGGCGGGUUGCUGGGCCGACACUGACGCUGAGGCGCGAAAGCCAGGGGAGCGAACGGG